CGUUUUUGUAUACUACGCUGAAUUAUAAAUCUUCAAUUUGCAGCACGUCCCUUGCUCCGCACGGUUGAACUCCCUUCAACGCUGAAUCCCUCAGUCGGCGGAUCGAUCUCCUCCCGAGAUCUGUUUAAGCCCCUCUCCCGAAGAACCGAUCUUCUUUUUGUAUAGAAGAAGCAAACUUGUGAUACUCCUUGAAUCUGUGUCUUCACCACAAAGCCUUGAAGCCGGUAUAUUUUCUAUGAAAAUCACGUAUCACGAUGGAGCAAUAAAAACGAGAGAGAAAAAAAUAUUUCUCUGAAAUCUUCUCUCGAUUAACAAGACGCUCCGGGAGCAGCAAAAAUAAGAGCGGAAAAAUAUAAUUUUUCUUCUCCAACAAAAGGCGUGCUACAGCAACCAAGAAAAGAGAGAUCGGCUUCUCUCCAAAACGACGCCAAUAAAAACGAGAGUAAAGAAAAUAUUCUGCGUAAAUUUUUCUCUCAAAGAAGACGUGAGAUCUGAGGUGCCGUAUUGCUGUAUUUAUACUUCUACAUGUUAUAAGAAUCCUACAAGGAAAAAAGAGUCCAUUAGGGUUAGGAAACUCUUAAUUACGUAGGAAAUAAUAUUUUCAAAACAAGGAAACUCUUUAGAAGAAUAAUUCCUAUUAUAAAUCAAUUAAUGACAAAUUAAAAGAAUUAAAAGCUACAAGGACUCUUCCCUUCUUUAGCUCAUGGUAUAUGAAAACUUGUGGCACAAGUUUUAUUAAUUCUCGUACAAUUAGAAUCCAUAGGAUUCUAACAAUCUCCCCCUUUGUCGUUUAUUGAUUAUAAUUAUUUUGUCCCGCUGAGUAAAAAACCUGAAAAUAAAACAAUCAGAUGAUUAGACCGAAGCAAAUAAAACGAAAGAUCAUCAUCAACUCUUUUCAACAACAAGAGUGGCAUCAACUGCUGCAACAGUAAGUGCCACAGUUUCAGCAACUGUUCCCACAGUAGUGGCUUUGGCAGGUGGUUCACAACGGAGUCAGCUCUCCCUGCAUGUGUAUCUCCCUCUGUGAAUGAUCCUUAGGCAGCUCCUCUUGUAAAUGCAUUCAUACUCCCCCUUUGCUUACUUGGCUUGGUAGACUUGGGAGGCGGUGGAUGACGACGUGGUAAAUUAUCCACGUGAUAAGAGACUCAGCAAAUAACAUCGGCAUUAUAGCUCCUCCUUUUAUAUUCUUGUGAAGACCUAAACCAAUUAAUGACAAUAAACAUCUCCAUAGAAUUUCACUUGGUGUUGUGGACUUAGAAUCCCACGAGAUUCUAACACUCUCCCCCUUUGGCAUUGAUUGGUCAGAAUAUUUACUCCCCCUAACUAUAUGAUACAUGCAUGAACAAGGGUUAACAACUUCAGAAUAACAUCUGCACAUAUAAACUGUUGCAACAGUUUAUCAAACAGUUCACCAGAUAGUGUAAACCGUAAAUAAACCAUAGUUCCAAAAUAAAAGCAGAUAAUUCGUUCAGAUAAGCACGAGAUAAAAGGAUAUGCAGUAGCAGAAACAACUUCUCUUCACAAUGCUUAUUAUUUGUCCUAUAUUUCUGCCCAGCAACUGUCUCAUGCACUGUUUCAACAGUUGUCUGAACUCCCCCUGCAUUCCUGCACUGUUCCAGCAACUGUCUGAUGCACUGUCGCAACAGUUGUCGGAACCCCCCCUAUGUUCAUGCCAUCGUUACUGUUCUUUUCUCCUGUUCUUUUCUCCCCCUUUCUGGGCAAUCACCAUGCAGAGAUAACUCAACAUGGACUAAUGAUCUUGAUGAUUCAAGCAAGCUGUUCAAACACUUAACAAAAAGAUCAAAACGAAGAGAGAAUCUUGGAAGUAAGUGAGAAGAAUCACUAUACAUAACGUGCACAGAAAAUCACAAACUCACAAACUCAAUACCACACGAUAAUUGCAAUGCGAAAAUCAAGGAUAGUGAUAUCAAAUCCAACAUUAAAUAGCAAAGACUACAGACUUUGCCAAACUUCAUAAGAAACGUGGAAAUGUGAGGAGUAAGCCCAAUCGAUCCGGUUGCAACAAAAAAAAAUCAAAUUUAACCGGCACAUAAACAAAAAUCCCGUCUCUCUCUCUCUCUCUUUUUUUUUUUUUUUUUUUUUUUUUUUUUUAAAAAAUGCGUAAUGCAGUACAAAAAGUAAACAUGAGAAAUAAACAUGAGUGAAGAGACAUAUGUGAAUAGGAUACUGCAUAGACAAACAAAACAUAUGGGAUUUAUCUUCACAUUUACGACAAGCGUAAUCCCCAAAAAUCCGACUGCCAAUGCAACCAAUAAACUUAAUAAUCCCAAGUCAAACACAAAGAUGCUCUUAUUAGGUAGCGUACACAUACGUCUAAUGGUAGCUUUUUCCCAUGAAAAACAGAGCAAUUAAAAGGAACGAGAUUAUGCUGGUCGUGCAAUGUGUAGUCCCCUGGGCUUUCUAAUUGAGCUUUGUAGUAAGUGUUCGGUCAAGUGGUUUACUGGCUCGACUCACCUAGGCUUCGAACUAUUCACUGACCAUAUAUAUAUAAUUUAUAUUGGCCGUGCAAUGUGUAGUCCCCUGGGCUUUCUAAUUGAGCCUUGUAGCGAGCUUUCGGCCACGUGAUUUACUGGCUCGACUCAAAAAGGCUUCGAACUAUUCACUGACCAAAUGGUUGUAGAUAUAUAUAUAUAUAUAUAUAUAUAUAUAUAUAUAUAUAUAUAUAUAUAUAUAUAUAUUAGUAACAGUAGUUCAAGAGUAGCUUUCACUCAUUAAAAGAGGCAGCUUUUCCCUAUAAAAACAUCCAACCAUGACAAGACUAUUCAGAGAAAUAAAUAAGUUGGAGCCUUUUAAGUAAUCAUUUUGGGAAUUGGUGAAGCUCUACCCCCACAAAGAUUAGAAGUACAUGAAGCAUCAAAUUCACAUUUGUCUCAAUCAGAUGCAGUAUGCUUAAUGCAGAUCCUAUAUGAGAUGCAAAAACAUAUGAAGUGUCCUACCUCUAAAAGUUGCAAGUCUGGACACACAGACAGUUGCAACAGUUCAUGCAACUGCAUCAGAUUAAACAACAUAAAUUCUCAGCGAUUUUCGCAAGGAAUCAAAUUUAUGUGCAUCAAGGGUUUUUGCAAAAGCAUCAGUUAAUUCAUUCUCCGUUGCAGCAUAAUCAAUUGAGACAACCCCCUUUUCGACCAAGCCCCUUAUGAAAAGAUGACAAAUAUCAGUAAGCUUAGUUCUCGAAUGCUGAAUUGGAUUCAUAAACUUAUUUUUCACAUACAAAUUAUCACAAUUCAGAUUACCAAGUUUUUUAUUCCCCAACCUAGUUUUGUCACCAGAACUGUUGGACUAGUUAGUACUAUAAUCACAUGAGUUUAAAGAAGUAAUGGCAGAUAAACAAUUAAGAUCAGACUUCUUUACCCAGAUUUUUUGUUGAGUUUUAUUCACUAAAUCAACCUUUAUCUUGGGUUUUUGAGACGACACAAAAGUGUGAUCAAUUUUGGCGGAAAGUGGUGAGCAGGCCAUUAUUCUUUUAACCAUUUUCAAGUACUUAAAACACCUGGGUCGUAUAUGACCAGCAACAUGACAAAAAUGACAAAUAGGCACAAAACGUUUUCUUUGAAAUGACUGUUUUGGCGCAACUGUCGCAACAGUCUGUGAAACAGUGCAUUGUUUAACAAAAUUGAUUUUUCCUAUUGGAUCUUCUUUCUGUUUCAAAGCAUCAUCAGAUAGUUUAUUACCCCUUACACCUAGAUGACCAUAGUACGGCUGAUUUGUUCUCAAAAUUUCAUUCAAAUUUACCCUACCUGUAUUUAAUUUUGAAAUAGAAUCUUGGGUUUUAGCAAAUUUGGCCUUCAAACUAUCUGUUUCUCUACUAGCAGAAAUAACAUUUUGUUCAAGAGUAGAAAUUCUUACCUUCAAUACUUUGUUUUCCUCAAUUAGGACAAGCUUCUCUUUUUCUAAGAAUUUAUUCGACUCGCAUACCUGAAGAAAUUUUUCGUACAUCCUUUCAUAGCACUCCUUUAAUUCUUCCAAGGAUGACGCGUCAUCAUCGCUGUUGUUUUCUGAAUCCCAAUCAUCACCUGCAAGAUUUAACGGAGUUAAUCUUUUAUGAGAUAUUGAAUUCAACUUAUCAUACCUAAGUUCUGUCUGAACAGUCUGUCUAACUGUUGCAACAGUUUCAGCGACAGUCUGUUUGCACUUGUUUAUCUGAGUAGUUCCUUCGUAGGCCUCUUGUAGAACAUCCCAUGCCUCCUUUGCUGAUUUGCACAUUGAUAUCAAUUUGAAUUGAUCUUCAUCGAUACAACUUAAGAUAGCAUUGGUUGCCUUGGAAUUAUAAUCUGCUAUUCGUACUUCUUCAUCACUCCACUUCUCUUUUGGGGUUUGAAUGAUCUCGUGUGACUCAUUCAUUGAGGUAGGAGGUGUCCAACCAAUUAGAAUCGCGCGCCAGGCCCAUUCAUCAAUAGAUUUAAUGAACAUCUUCAUCCUUAUUUUCCAAUCAGAGUAGUUUAAUUCACCCAAGACAGGUGGUAGGAAUGCGCCUUCACGAUGAUUAUUCAUGUCUGCACAAAAAAAAUAAAAAAUAAUUAAAUCCCAAAAUCUCACUAAGUGUAUCUAGUGACAGGCUCUUGAUGCCAAUUGUUAGAAUUUAUUUCGUGCAGAUAUAAAUUAUUUGUGUCAGAUUCAGUUUUUCGUUACUGUUGCGUGAAGAGUUGCAACAGUUCGUGAAACAGUUUGUAAAAACAGAAAUAAACGAGACACAAAUUUAAUGUGGUUCGGAUACAACUGUACCCUACAUCCACGGGGACCUGCAAAUUAAAUUUACUAAUUUUUAGUUUUACGAAUACAAUAAUAGGACUUAAUCAAAAUACAAAGACUCCCUCUUUGUUGACGCCGUUCUUGUAUACUACGCUGAAUUAUAAAUCUUCAAUUUGCAGCACGUCCCUUGCUCCGCACGGUUGAACUCCCUUCAACGCUGAAUCCCUCAGUCGGCGGAUCGAUCUCCUCCCGAGAUCUGUUUAAGCCCCUCUCCCGAAGAACCGAUCUUCUUUUUGUAUAGAAGAAGCAAACUUGUGAUACUCCUUGAAUCUGUGUCUUCACCACAAAGCCUUGAAGCCGGUAUAUUUUCUAUGAAAAUCACGUAUCACGAUGGAGCAAUAAAAACGAGAGAGAAAAAAAUAUUUCUCUGAAAUCUUCUCUCGAUUAACAAGACGCUCCGGGAGCAGCAAAAAUAAGAGCGGAAAAAUAUAAUUUUUCUUCUCCAACAAAAGGCGUGCUACAGCAACCAAGAAAAGAGAGAUCGGCUUCUCUCCAAAACGACGCCAAUAAAAACGAGAGUAAAGAAAAUAUUUUGCGUAAAUUUUUCUCUCAAAGAAGACGUGAGAUCUGAGGCGCCGUAUUGCUGUAUUUAUACUUCUACAUGUUAUAAGAAUCCUACAAGGAAAAAAGAGUCCAUUAGGGUUAGGAAACUCUUAAUUACGUAGGAAAUAAUAUUUUCAAAACAAGGAAACUCUUUAGAAGAAUAAUUCCUAUUAUAAAUCAAUUAAUG
This 5500-nucleotide long non-coding RNA is filed under the name Erythranthe guttata (spotted monkey flower). RNAcentral describes it as "long non-coding RNA (EGUT_LNC001419)". Lineage: Eukaryota; Viridiplantae; Streptophyta; Magnoliopsida; Lamiales; Phrymaceae. The record is from RNAcentral.